RNAcentral lists this transfer RNA (72 nucleotides) under Treponema bryantii. Its description in RNAcentral is "tRNA_Glu_TTC". It matches the Rfam family "tRNA". Rfam says of the family: Transfer RNA (tRNA) molecules are approximately 80 nucleotides in length. Their secondary structure includes four short double-helical elements and three loops (D, anti-codon, and T loops). Lineage: Bacteria; Pseudomonadati; Spirochaetota; Spirochaetia; Treponematales; Treponemataceae. The record is from RNAcentral.
GGUUGAUUAGAAUAACGGUUAGUUCACUGGGGUUUCAUCCCAGUAAAACGGGUUCAACUCCCGUAUCAACCU